Molecule: long non-coding RNA, 752 nt
Filed under: Brassica rapa (field mustard)
Lineage: Eukaryota; Viridiplantae; Streptophyta; Magnoliopsida; Brassicales; Brassicaceae
Description: long non-coding RNA (BRAP_LNC002532)
Source: RNAcentral
UAGACCAGUCUUCCCCAUGAGCCUCUAUACUGCUCAAUGCGAAACGAUAACCGACUAGUCACUACACCCAAUUCGUAACUAUCUAUUACAGUUUCGUUUCACGAAAUCAAACAAUGUAAUGAACUCAGUCAUCACUCAAUUCACAUAAAUCGGUUUAUUAUUUAAGACUCCAAUCCUCCUAGAACUCUAGGACCUACACAGCUCAGGCGGACCAACCCUCCCCUUUUCUUGCUGCGUUCCUGUGGAGCCGCCUGCCCUGGUACACUCGGCAUCCGGUUCCCUAGGAUGUAGUCUAUACCCCUUGCAGUGUAUUACGACCCCUUCCCGCCAAGACUCGACGUGACUCAAACUUACCGGUGCCUCUAAUCUUACCCUGCCGUUUUUGAACGCUACGUCCGCCGCAUUUUCCUUUACUCCCCACCAGUCCCUCGGUGGUUCGUAUUUCAUUCAAUUAAUUUUCCCAUACUCCCCACCAGUCCCUCGGUGGUUCGUAUUUCAUUCAAUUAACUUUCCUUUUUCCUUUUUCCUUUAUUUCCUUUUUCUUAUCAUUUCUUUUUUCCUUAUCAUUCCUUUUUCCUUAACCUUUAGACUCUUUUUUACUUUCCUUUUUAGACGCCACCCGUUCUCGGUGUCACACUAAAUCCAUUUAACAAUCAUUCACGCAUAUCCUAUCAUUCAUCUAACCAGACCGGUUAAAUGUUCUCUUAAGAUCCUACGAUUAAUUCUUUCUAACCAUCCUAGCUCUCAAUCAC